This 433-nucleotide ribosomal RNA is filed under the name uncultured bacterium. RNAcentral's name for it is "bacterial SSU rRNA". It matches the Rfam family "Bacterial small subunit ribosomal RNA", at positions 28 to 445 of the family's 1533-position model. The record is from RNAcentral.
GAUGAACGCUGGCGGCGUGCUUAACACAUGCAAGUCGAGCGAAGCGAUUUAAAUGAGACUUCGGUGGAUUUUAAAUUGACUGAGCGGCGGACGGGUGAGUAACGCGUGGAUAACCUGCCUCACACAGGGGGAUAACAGUUAGAAAUGACUGCUAAUACCGCAUAAGCGCACGGUACCGCAUGGUACAGUGUGAAAAACUCCGGUGGUGUGAGAUGGAUCCGCGUCUGAUUAGGUAGUUGGUGAGGUAACGGCCCACCAAGCCGACGAUCAGUAGCCGACCUGAGAGGGUGACCGGCCACAUUGGGACUGAGACACGGCCCAAACUCCUACGGGAGGCAGCAGUGGGGAAUAUUGCACAAUGGGCGAAAGCCUGAUGCAGCAACGCCGCGUGAGUGAAGAAGUAUCUCGGUAUGUAAAGCUCUAUCAGCAGGGA